CAGCAGCCACGGUAAUACGAAGGGGGCAAGCGUUAAUCGGAAUUACUGGGCGUAAAGCGCGCGUAGGUGGUUUGUUAAGUUGGAUGUGAAAUCCCCGGGCUCAACCUGGGAACUGCAUCCAAAACUGGCAGGCUAGGGUAGGGCAGAGGGUGGUGGAAUUUCCUGUGUAGCGGUGAAAUGCGUAGAUAUAGGAAGGAACAUCAGUGGCGAAGGCGGCCAUAUGGGACAACACUGACGCUGAGGCACGAAAGCGUGGGGAGCAAACAGGAUUAGAUACCCCCGUAGUCCCUGUCUCUUAUAC
RNAcentral lists this ribosomal RNA (301 nucleotides) under uncultured bacterium. Its description in RNAcentral is "partial 16S ribosomal RNA". It matches the Rfam family "Bacterial small subunit ribosomal RNA", at positions 509 to 807 of the family's 1533-position model. The record is from RNAcentral.